This 317-nucleotide ribosomal RNA is filed under the name uncultured eukaryote. RNAcentral describes it as "SSU rRNA". It matches the Rfam family "Eukaryotic small subunit ribosomal RNA", at positions 1326 to 1660 of the family's 1831-position model. The record is from RNAcentral.
CGAUAACGAACGAGACCUCAACCUGCUAAAUAGUACCGCUAAUGCUCCGGUAUUGGCUGGCGACUUCUUAGAGGGACUAUCGGUGUGUAACCGAUGGAAGUUUGAGGCAAUAACAGGUCUGUGAUGCCCUUAGAUGUUCUGGGCCGCACGCGCGCUACACUGAUACGUUCAUCGAGCUUACAACCUUGACUGAGAGGUCUGGGUAAUCUUUUGAAAUCGUAUCGUGCUGGGGAUAGAUUAUUGUAAUUUUUAAUCUUCAACGAGGAAUUCCUAGUAAACGCGAUUCAUCAGAUCGCAUUGAUUACGUCCCUGCCCUU